AGGGAAUCUUCCGCAAUGGGCGAAAGCCUGACGGAGCAACGCCGCGUGAGUGAUGAAGGUUUUCGGAUCGUAAAGCUCUGUUGCGGGGGAAGAACGUCGGGUAGAGUAACUGCUAUCCGAGUGACGGUACCUGAGAAGAAAGCCCCGGCUAACUACGCGCCAGCAGCCGCGGUAAUACGUAGGGGGCAAGCGUUGUCCGGAAUUAUUGGGCGUAAAGCGCGCGCAGGCGGCCAUUUAAGUCUGGUGUUUAAUCCCGGGGCUCAACCCCGGGUCGCAUCGGAAACUGGGUGGCUGGAGUGCAGAAGAGGAAAGUGGAAUUCCACGUGUAGCGGUGAAAUGCGUAGAGAUGUGGAGGAACACCAGUGGCGAAGGCGACUUUCUGGGCUGUAACUGACGCUGAGGCGCGAAAGCGUGGGGAGCAAAC
Molecule: ribosomal RNA, 424 nt
Filed under: uncultured bacterium
Lineage: Bacteria
Description: bacterial SSU rRNA
Rfam family: Bacterial small subunit ribosomal RNA
Source: RNAcentral